RNAcentral lists this ribosomal RNA (460 nucleotides) under uncultured bacterium. RNAcentral describes it as "partial 16S ribosomal RNA". It matches the Rfam family "Bacterial small subunit ribosomal RNA", at positions 338 to 795 of the family's 1533-position model. The record is from RNAcentral.
CCUACGGGUGGCAGCAGUGAGGAAUAUUGGUCAAUGGACGAGAGUCUGAACCAGCCAAGUAGCGUGAAGGAUGACUGCCCUAUGGGUUGUAAACUUCUUUUAUAUGGGAAUAAAAUGUUCCACGUGUGGGAUUUUGUAUGUACCAUAUGAAUAAGGAUCGGCUAACUCCGUGCCAGCAGCCGCGGUAAUACGGAGGAUCCGAGCGUUAUCCGGAUUUAUUGGGUUUAAAGGGAGCGUAGGUGGUUUGUUAAGUCAGUUGUGAAAGUUUGGGGCUCAACCGUAAAAUUGCAGUUGAAACUGGCAGUCUUGAGUAGGGUAGAGGUGGGCGGAAUUCGUGGUGUAGCGGUGAAAUGCUUAGAUAUCACGAAGAACUCCGAUUGCGAAGGCAGUUCACUGGACUGCAACUGACACUGAGGCUCGAAAGUGUGGGUAUCAAACAGGAUUAGAUACCCCAGUAGUC